ACACAUGCAAGUCGAGGGGCAGCAUGAACUUAGCCUGCUAAGUUUGAUGGCGACCGGCGCACGGGUGAGUAACACGUAUCCAACCUGCCGAUGACUCGGGGAUAGCCUUUCGAAAGAAAGAUUAAUACCCGAUGGCAUAGUUCUUCCGCAUGGUAGAGCUAUUAAAGAAUUUCGGUCAUCGAUGGGGAUGCGUUCCAUUAGGUUGUUGGCGGGGUAACGGCCCACCAAGCCUUCGAUGGAUAGGGGUUCUGAGAGGAAGGUCCCCCACAUUGGAACUGAGACACGGUCCAAACUCCUACGGGAGGCAGCAGUGAGGAAUAUUGGUCAAUGGACGAGAGUCUGAACCAGCCAAGUAGCGUGAAGGAUGACUGCCCUAUGGGUUGUAAACUUCUUUUAUACGGGAAUAAAGUGAGGCACGUGUGCCUUUUUGUAUGUACCGUAUGAAUAAGGAUCAGCUAACUCCGUGCCAGCAGCCGCGGUAAUACGGAGGAUCCGAGCGUUAUCCGGAUUUAUUGGGUUUAAAGGGAGCGUAGGCGGACGCUUAAGUCAGUUGUGAAAGUUUGCGGCUCAACCGUAAAAUUGCAGUUGAUACUGGGUGUCUUGAGUACAGUAGAGGCAGGCGGAAUUCGUGGUGUAGCGGUGAAAUGCUUAGAUAUCACGAAGAACUCCGAUUGCGAAGGCAGCUUGCUGGACUGUAACUGACGCUGAUGCUCGAAAGUGUGGGUAUCAAACAGGAUUAGAUACCCUGGUAGUCCACACAGUAAACGAUGAAUACUCGCUGUUUGCGAUAUACAGUAAGCGGCCAAGCGAAAGCGUUAAGUAUUCCACCUGGGGAGUACGCCGGCA
This 846-nucleotide ribosomal RNA is filed under the name uncultured bacterium. Its description in RNAcentral is "bacterial SSU rRNA". It matches the Rfam family "Bacterial small subunit ribosomal RNA", at positions 51 to 890 of the family's 1533-position model. The record is from RNAcentral.